Molecule: ribosomal RNA, 406 nt
Filed under: uncultured bacterium
Lineage: Bacteria
Description: partial 16S ribosomal RNA
Rfam family: Bacterial small subunit ribosomal RNA
Source: RNAcentral
AUUGAACGCUGGCGGCAUGCUUUACACAUGCAAGUCGGACGAGUGGCGAACGGGUGAGUAAUAUAUUGGAACGUACCCAGUAAUGGGGGAUAACCAAUCGAAAGAUUGGCUAAUACCGCAUAUUAUUCGAGCGGCCCAUAUCGUAUUAGCUAGUUGGUGGGGUAAAGGCCUACCCAGGCGAAGACCAGUAGCGGGUCUGAGAGGAUGAUCAGCCAAACUGGGACUGAGACACGGCCCAGACUCCUACGGGCGGCAGCAGUGGGGAAUUUUGGACAAUGGGAGCAAGCCUGAUGCAGCCAUGCCGCGUGUCUGAAGAAGGCCUUAGGGUUGUAAAGCACUUUUGUUAGGGAGGCGGUACCUAAAGAAGAAGCACCGGCUAACUACGUGCCAGCAGCCGCGGUAAUUC